RNAcentral lists this unclassified non-coding RNA (316 nucleotides) under Hevea brasiliensis (rubber tree). The record is from RNAcentral. Lineage: Eukaryota; Viridiplantae; Streptophyta; Magnoliopsida; Malpighiales; Euphorbiaceae.
CUUUCUCCUCUUCAAUUUCUUCUCAUUUCGCCUACCUAAGAAAGAAAACUUGUUAUUUUACUGUGUGGGCAAAGAUAUAAGGCCUAACUCAAUGGCCGGUAGACAAAAAUACAACAAAAACGAUGAUCGAUUGCUGAUAUGAGAGUCUAAAAUAUUUAUUACCGAGUAAUCAUACAUUAUAGGGGGCAGAGAGAGAGAGAGAGAGGAAGUUUUGGGUAUGAGAUCAAUGGAAGAGUGGAGCAGCUUUUUUUGUUGUUAUCUUUUGAUGCUAAAACUGGACGGAAUUCGUUCUACUGAUGCACAAGAAAUUAGAGUC